Molecule: ribosomal RNA, 253 nt
Filed under: uncultured bacterium
Lineage: Bacteria
Description: partial 16S ribosomal RNA
Rfam family: Bacterial small subunit ribosomal RNA
Source: RNAcentral
UACGUAGGGUGCUAGCGUUAUCCGGAAUUAUUGGGCGUAAAGAGCUCGUAGGCGGUUUGUCGCGUCUGCCGUGAAAGUCCGGGGCUCAACUCCGGAUCUGCGGUGGGUACGGGCAGACUAGAGUGCAGUAGGGGAGACUGGAAUUCCUGGUGUAGCGGUGAAAUGCGCAGAUAUCAGGAGGAACACCGAUGGCGAAGGCAGGUCUCUGGGCUGUAACUGACGCUGAGGAGCGAAAGCAUGGGGAGCGAACAGG